CGGAAGUUGAUCGCGGAAACGAAACGGCCGCCAGCUGCAGUCCGUUACAUCAGAGAGAGCAAGAUGGCGAGAGCUUUUUGGAAGUAAAACAAGCGGAGGGACGACAUACACCGAAGAACCGUGCAGAAGAAUUCCUCCACGUGUCAAACAGAAGGGCGGUAUAAUUUUCGCAGAAGUUGAUUGGCCAAGUCAAUGUUUGCCCGGGGCAACGCACCGACCGGGCAUACAGAUGACACCACGUGAGCGGCUGUUGUGUGCAGGUGGAGAAAUGUCUCCGUCCUUCCUGUGUCCUCGACGCAGGUCUGAUGGCACAGGGGGAAAUCCUGUCUCAGCUCAUGUCCCCCCCCCCCCCCCCCCCCCCCGCUGGGAUGUGGAGGUACGCUCGGUUUCAUCGCCCUGUUCAUGACUGUUAUUGCUCAAAAGUGGAAGAUUAUGAUUACCUGGAAGCCUCAGUCCCGGCUCUGUUUCUGCCUGCAGAGUAACGGCGAGUAUUCCAGGUCCAAAGGGAUGAAUUUAAUCUGCAGAUGGUUAUCAAUCUAAAAGUGGUUUUGCCCUCUUGAAAGGGAUCUCCAUGCUUUUGUUGUCAAGUUGUAUUUCAACCAUUUCCUCCCGUGUUCAUUCGCUCUCACUCACAACUCCCCUCUGUAUUAUACGGCUUAAUUUUGCUGAAGAGCUGCAAAUGUCACAGUUCAGUGGAAUUUUGAGGCCUCUAAAAUCCCAGAGACUGUGCCUGAUAGAUUUCAGUAAACUAUGAAAUUAAAUAAGGAACCUCCUGUGUGAAUUGGAUUUAAAUAUUCCUAUUACUCCGGCAAAUGAAUAAGAAGAAAAGUAAGAUUAACUUUUAAAUGAUGGUGAGAAUCCUCCAGUGCUACGGCUUCAGAACGAGGUCAUUAGUGUAAGUGUGAUGCUUCAUAAUCCCUCCCAGCGGCGAGCGGGACACCGCACAUCCAUAUCGACUCCCCACAGAUAAAAGUAUUUAUUUCAGGAUCUUUCCUGGACAGUGAGGACAAACAACAGUAAGCCACGAAUCCACCUCCAUGUGAUGGAUCCAGGUGAAAACAAGCUUCACGCUCCCCGCGGCCUCAUUCAUCACCCGAUUAUCAUUCAUGUCUGUUGAGGGUUUCCAUGAUUGUAGCUUGGAUUAUUUCAGAAAGUCGAUGUAUUUCCAAUAUUUUCCUUCUUCCACCAAACGAUUGCGAAAACAUUACAUCAACAACAACAAGGACUACAUUUGCGCGGAGAAGGUUUUAACUUCACUUUGAGUCCUUAGCCUUUUGAAGUAUUGCAGAGCAUGAGCUUACAUUUCAUUUCGCCCAGGCUUUGCACCUGAGACACACACACACACACCUUUAAGAUGCAAUGAAAGGAAAUAAUAACUGAAGCUCUCUGAAUUAAUUAACUCGAGUAUAAACUUGACUUUGAUUGCAAAGCGAAAUUGGCUUUGACUUGACUUCUAGUUGUCAUUCAUCUUUUGGGGCAGCUGAAACCUUUCAGGCUUUAACCUGCUGUGUAUUUUGGCCUUUGCGAGAGAAAGAGAGGCAAACAUCUGGAUUCUUCCCAUGAUUGUCAGGAAGCAC
Molecule: long non-coding RNA, 1577 nt
Organism: Gasterosteus aculeatus aculeatus (three-spined stickleback)
Lineage: Eukaryota; Metazoa; Chordata; Actinopteri; Perciformes; Gasterosteidae
Source: Ensembl